GACGAACGCUGGCGGCGUGCCUAAUACGUGCAAGUAGGACGCACAGUUUAUACCGUAGCUUGCUACACCAUAGACUGUGAGUUGCGAACGGGUGAGUAACGCGUAGGUAACCUGCCUAUUAGAGGGGGAUAACUAUUGGAAACGAUAGCUAAUACCGCAUAACAGUAUGUAACACAUGUUAGAUGCUUGAAAGAUGCAAUUGCAUCGCUAGUAGAUGGACCUGCGUUGUAUUAGCUAGUAGGUAGGGUAAAGGCCUACCUAGGCAACGAUACAUAGCCGACCUGAGAGGGUGAUCGGCCACACUGGGACUGAGACACGGCCCAGACCCUACGGGAGGCAGCAGUAGGGAAUCUUCGGCAAUGGGGGGAACCCUGACCGAGCAACGCCGCGUGAGUGAAGAAGGUUUUCGGAUCGUAAAGCUCUGUUGUUAAGGAAGAACGAGUGUGAGAAUGGAA
This 455-nucleotide ribosomal RNA is filed under the name Streptococcus anginosus. Its description in RNAcentral is "bacterial SSU rRNA". It matches the Rfam family "Bacterial small subunit ribosomal RNA", at positions 28 to 466 of the family's 1533-position model. The record is from RNAcentral. Lineage: Bacteria; Bacillati; Bacillota; Bacilli; Lactobacillales; Streptococcaceae.